Long non-coding RNA from Lagopus muta (rock ptarmigan), 1828 nucleotides. RefSeq lists it as uncharacterized. NCBI's taxonomy places the organism in Eukaryota, Metazoa, Chordata, Aves, Galliformes, Phasianidae. The transcript has 2 exons. The record is from RefSeq and is a predicted model, not a curated record.
GGGUGCUAAGAAGGAUCAAUGAGGUCUCCCUGAGCAAGGUGGUGUAGACUGGGGCAGAGAAAGUGAUGCUGUCCCUACUAAAAAGAGGGGAAAUGUCUGAGACAUCCAGCAUAAAUGCUGGGAUGGAAGUCACAGAGGAUGGCAGCACUAUUGUUACCACCUGCGCUGUGCAACCAGGGCCAGGAAUCAGCUGCUGAUGCUGUGUAACGAUUUUGGAAAGCCCUUUUCUCCUUCACUGCACGCAGCCCAAACAGAAGCCGUGUCCAACAGAUUCCUGCAAGGCACAGAGCUCCAGGAGCUUCUCCCACCCACCAGCAAGACGCUGCUCCGCACUGAGCACACAUUCUCCCUGGGACGGACGGUACCGAAUCCUCAGAGGACACAAAGUUGGUCCCGAUCCCUGGGGUCAGAGGGAGGGAGAGGCGCUCGGAGCCGCCGCAACGCCGGGCCAGCAGCUCCGCCUGGCGGGGCGCGACCGCAGCGCAGAGCCAAACCCUGGGACGGAGGGGAAGCGGGGUGAGAUGCGAGCUGGAGGCUUAACCUGUUGGUCUGAGGAAUGCAGUGAGGGAAAGAGGAAAGAAAGAAAGGAAAAAUUGCAUCGAUGCCUUCCACGCACCCCAAUGCAAAGGAGGAAUUCUGACACAGCGAACCCCUUGGUGCUGAGGGCACUGAGUGAUGCUCUGUAACUGGGCAGAAGAAAUGGUGGCAAAGCUGCUUUUUGUGAAUCUCAGGAAAAUGAACGCUGUCUCUAAACUUAGCACUGAACUGAUGUGCAGUGGAUGGCACCACUGAUUCCCAGAGGAGGGCUGAGGGUGUGGGGGAGCUGGGGAAACACAACUUGGGCAAGUGGAGUCUGUCCCUGCUCUCUCCAUCUCUCUCCACCUGUCCCACAUGCCUGCUCUUUCCAAAAGUGAACAGGACACAGUAAGGACACUUCUCCAUGAGAGCUUUAUGCAUGCUGGGCUGUUUCUAACAUCAGCCAGCUCAGAGCUACCUGGGGCAAUGCAGCAACAAGCGCUGGCAGGAGUCCUGUCCACACAAAGCAGCUAGCUCCAUUUUCAUUUGUUUUACAGACGGCUUCUCCCCCUCCACGUGUGAGCAGCUGGCUCCUGCUGCGACUCCAGCAUCUCACACAACCACUGCUUCAUCUCCUGAGGCGCAGGGCAGCGCUCCAUCCCUCUGCUCACAGCGCUGCUGCAGCUCAAAGAGCCCCGCGAGCUGAGGCGGGCGCCUCACAGCCCUGCUGAUUUGUAGGGAGAGCUGCAGGGCCUUGGAGCUGAUACAGAACCACUGCAGGAGUGGGAAUUGGUUCUGCUUUCUGCUACAUGGAAUUUGAUUUGAUUAGUCUAAUCUAUUGCAUUAUUCUUUACCACAUGCAAAACUCUUCAACCUGAUUAAAGCUGACAUUUAAGCUAAGAGAUGAGAACUGGAAUGGAGUAAUAAGGAAAAAUUAUUUCACAAGCUUUUGCAGUGUAGAUUUGUUGGGUAAAUCAAUUACAUUUAAAAUUUAAGGUUGAGACUUGACCCUAAAUCUCCUUCAAGGAAAAGGAAAGGAUUAAUUCCUCAAUUUGUUACAUUUUAGCUUUACAGAGAGCUUCAGCAAAGCCCACAGAAGUUUGUACAGGUGCUGCUGGUUUGGAAUGGUGAUUUUAGAUAUGAGUGGUAAGCAGCAAUGAAUGCUAGCUUACAAAAUCUCACAUCAACAUGUUUAUUGUCUUUAGGAUCUGGAAUUAUGGCUCUAAGACCUUCCUAAGGCUAUGGAGUCGCUGUGCAAGCAGUUGUUUCUGGGUCGCUGAAGGAAAAUUGUGAGCUGUAUACUGGAUCCAUU